CAGUGACAGCUUGCCGUUAAACACUUAAGAGAUAAUAAAGUUGACUUACCUUCAUAAAAUAGCGUUAACAUGAAUAUAUCAUUGGUAUUCAUCUUCAUUUUGAUUUCAACGUUGUCGUUAAUGACUCCAGAAGCGGAAGGUCGUUCUACUAACUGUACCCGAAACAGGCCGAAUACCGAUAGUUUUAAGUGCGUCAGCAAAGAUCUGCUUGACAAGAUGGACAGACUUAAUUCACUGAUAAACAGAACAAUACAAUGCAAGGAUGACAUCCUUUCGGCGUAAAGAAAUUAACGGAAUCGACCCCAAACAACUCUUGUCCAUAAUGAGGAACAUCACUUUGUCGUACAUAUGUAACAACACUGCCUUCUAUUCUUUUGCUCUAUCCUGAUACUUGAAACCAUGACAGUUUAUAUGUCCGCACACAUAUAUUCAAUUGAAAUGAAAGUUUGAACCUUGUAACAUGUUUUGCAUAUGUGGGUAACCAUAUACAAUAGCCUGAAUGAGGCAAUAGUUGUAUCAACACGGUUGCAUUUCACAGCUAACUUAAAUGCAUGCAGUAUUUCACCAAUAUUACGUUACAUAGGCCUUGCAGUACCCGACUUUGAUACAACAUUACACGUGACAUGAACAUGUUUUUGAUCUCAGCUGAUGGUGUUCGUCAGUACUUUACUGAUAACAUCCGAUCUUCUAGUUCUCUAUAUUAUGUUUGUUGAUUAUGCAUUUGUACUUCAGUUUGCGUAAACCUAAGAUGCAUGGUUUCUCUGUAAAUAUAAUUUUUGUUCUAUUGUUUGCAUUUUCAGAUAAAAAUUUACCUUGA
Long non-coding RNA from Mizuhopecten yessoensis (Yesso scallop), 817 nucleotides. RefSeq lists it as uncharacterized. NCBI's taxonomy places the organism in Eukaryota, Metazoa, Mollusca, Bivalvia, Pectinida, Pectinidae. The record is from RefSeq and is a predicted model, not a curated record. The transcript has 3 exons.